AAUUAUUUAUGAUUAGGAUGAUGGUUUCAUAGAUGGAAGAUGUGACUCUGGAGUCGGUGGUGGAAAUGCGUGGGAUCGAGCUACCUGGGGCUCCCACGUGCGGGAAACGGCGGGCCGCUUGCCGAGUCAUCGGAGGACCGCCGCCGCCAGAGAGCGAGGCCCCAACGGAGGAGACGGACGGCGCCCCCCGCCAUCGGCCCGGCCCCGUUCCCUCGGACCCGCGGCGCAGCGGCGACUCGGGGACGACGGGGCAGGACGCGAAAAGCACGCGGAGGUCGGUACGCCGCUCGCCGUGUAAAAUGCUUCUCGGAGUUCGGCGAGGAGGAGUGCGGCCGAGCGCCGGCGACACGCAUUAUUUGUUCCCUCUCCCCCGGCUGUGAAUUUACCUGAUUAAAUCAGCGAGUGCACGCAGCGGCGGUGACAUGAAAACAACAAUUAAUAAGCAACCCCCCAGUGCCAC
This 460-nucleotide long non-coding RNA is filed under the name Scleropages formosus (Asian bonytongue). RNAcentral's name for it is "lncRNA (ENSSFOG00015026357.1)". Lineage: Eukaryota; Metazoa; Chordata; Actinopteri; Osteoglossiformes; Osteoglossidae. The record is from RNAcentral.